CUUAAAGGAAAAGUCAACAAAAUAUACUCCCCCAACACUACACGUAUCUAUUCUCCAAAAGCACUGCUACUGUACUAUUGUCUCUCUCUAAAUUCUUCAAACUCCCACACCCAAUUCGCAAAUUCUCUCUGACCCUUCCUCGCAAAAUUGGUAAUCUAGUUAUUGCCCAUCUCUCUCUCUCGCUCGCUCGCUGUUGUACCAGCAACAACCGCUGUCAUCUCUGCUAUCAUGCUGUCUCCGUCGCCGCCGCUCCAGGCGGUCAGCUCCUCCAUCGGCAGCGCCGCUUCUUCAACCGGUAAGUUUUCCCCCUCCCCUUUCAACUCUAAGGGUUUUAAAGUAUUUUAAUUGGUUCUCACAAGGCUUAAUUUGAAUUAGUUCAAAGGGCCAAUUACUAGGCUAAAUUCCAAGAAACUACCUCUGCGGAGGUAGUAUCCGCCAUUUGUUCCCGCAAAAAAAAAGUUUCCAGAGAGGGGAAAGAGAGGGGAAAGAUGCGAGAGGUUGUCGUGUGUUUACUUAUAGACGCGUCUUCCUCUCGCGUCUCUAAAAUGAAACACGCGUGACGCAUUAGCGUCUCUAAACAUACACACAACAAGAUCAAGGCAAGCAUUAUUUUCUCCAUUCAAGGAUGUAUGUGAAGCUGGCGGCUGUGCAACUUCCAAGCGAGAGAGAGGGCCGGUUCCAAUAAAUGUGUUAUUUCCCAAGAAAUUGGAAUUAUCUUCAUCCAUUAAUUCGGCUGAGCAUUUUAUGAAGCCCACCGCCUCAUUCCCAUGCGCAUUCACUACAUGACUGUCAUUCCCACAAUUCAUAGAACAAGACUUGAUAUUCUCGGCGUCAUCAUUAAAUUCCAGCAUGAUCAUUAAAUUCCACCCCCUUCAUCUGUAUCAACCUCUUCAAUCUCCUCCAUCAUUCUCUGCAAAAAAGCUUUCUUCAUCUCCUCCACUUCCUCUAAGGUAUGUAUAGCCAUUUCCUUCGACGCAGCAGACCCGUUUUCCAUACCAGAACUUUCAUCUUCAUCGAACAUAGCAGUAUCUUCAUCACCCUGUCUACACUCGGCGGCCAGAGGCUUUGCCGUAGGAUCUGGCAGACGUCUUCGCGACGGGUCCGCCAUUGACGGAAGAGGGCAGAAGCUUCGAAAUUUCAUUCAUUGAAACACGCAUGAGCAAAUCGCGUGUUUAAUAUGGAUACACGCGUGCGCUUCUCGCGUCUUUCCCCUCUCUGAAAACUUUUUUUUUGCGGGAACAAAUGGCGGAUACUACCUCCCCGGAGGUAGUUUCUUGGAAUUUAGCCCCAAUUACUACGGCAGAUUAAAAAUCGGGUCUUGGACAAGUCCUCACAAAGGGUUCAAAAUGUUGUAUAAAAUUCAGUGAGUGAACUAUCGUGAGAGUACAAUUAUGCCAUGAAGAAAGAACGUGGGACUUGAGUAUACCUCUAGUUUGAAGGAAUAAAUUUGUGGAGCAAAAAUCUGGAAACUCCCGGCUACCCGACUCCUUUUGCUAUCUCAGAAUUUGGAGGAAAGGUAAAAAUUUGUGGAACUGUUUGGGUGUAUAUAUUCACAUAUAAAUUGUAGAUUUGAAACUGAUAUGGAGUAGUUGAAAUAUAUAUGGGCUACACGUCUUUUUCAGGGUGGUGGAGAGAUUUGAGAUUAACUAUCGUGGAUUUGAUAUUAAAGAGGGAUAGAUAUCCUUAGAUUAAAAUUAAGAGACUAAUUUUGGGCUCAUAACAAGCGGGUUUCUAAUUGAUAGUAAAAGAAUAAUUGUUUGGCCCAAAAGUGAAAUACUUCUCUCGACAAAAAAUAAAGGCGAAAAAAUUUUCAAGUGCACAAAUGACGGUCCUUUCAAGAACAUAAUAAAAAGGUAGAAAAAGUCUGGGUGUUACAAUGUCUCCGGUCGAGGAAUGCCACCGCCGCUGCUGUUCGCCCAGGUCCAGCCACUGCUGGCUCAUCGUCUAUCCACCGCUCUCUCUCUCUCGCUGCCUCUACACACUCUUUCUCUUCUCUGAUAUCUUUCAAUUUGCAAACCGUGGGAGGUGUGAAUUGUGCAUAUAAAUACCACAACUUGUAUUUUGGGAUUUGAUCAGGAGAUUUGUUCCUAUUUUUCAGCGAUGCAGAUCGUGGCAGAUUUCUUUGUAUCAGAUUUGAGUGGAAGAAAGAGGAGCGCAACGGAGUCCAAAGUCCGUGAAUGGGCAGCGAGAGAGAGUUUGAGAGAAAGAGAGAAAGAAGAGAGUGAGAUGGAGAAGGAGGGUGGCUGGCGCUCACCGACGAUGGCGAGAAGGGGGCGGCGGUAAUCGCUCCGAGACUCCACUGAUUUGAGAAUGAGGAGGGAGGCGGAAUUGAGAGAGUGAAAUUGAAUUGGGGAAGAAGAAGUUGCUUUGGGAUAGGAGAAUGCAGGCGACGAGUUCUUUCUUGAAUUAGGAACAAAUUGAGAGAGAAAUAGGAGACGGCAGCGGCAUCGAAUUGUCACGGAGAGAGAGCGAACAACGACGAUGGUUUGUGUGUGGGCGACGAACGCCCCCGUGUGGAAGAGCUGCUCGACGGAGAGCUGUAGAAGAGUGAGCAGAGAGAGAGAUGACAGAGUGUGUUUGAUUUGAGAAGAGGAUUUCAAUUCCAUUCUGGAAUUUCACGUAAGGCCUACUGUUUUGAUAAAGGAGAUGGCUUUGAGUCAAUCUGGUUUGGGCCAAAUUAAUUGAAUGGAAGAUUGGAUUGGGUCGAAGUGGGUGACCUCACGCACGCUUUUCGAGAACGGAAUAAAAAACAAGUUAAGGCUUUA
Salvia splendens (bonfire salvia) is the source of this 2765-nucleotide long non-coding RNA. RefSeq lists it as uncharacterized. The transcript has 2 exons. The record is from RefSeq and is a predicted model, not a curated record. Lineage: Eukaryota; Viridiplantae; Streptophyta; Magnoliopsida; Lamiales; Lamiaceae.